Molecule: long non-coding RNA, 202 nt
Filed under: Mytilus galloprovincialis (Mediterranean mussel)
Lineage: Eukaryota; Metazoa; Mollusca; Bivalvia; Mytilida; Mytilidae
Source: RNAcentral
AAAAGGAGUAGGUCCGGUAAGGACCGAUUUUGGCCUCAAAUUUCAGGUUCAUCUGACGAAAGAUUUUGACCACUUUUUAAACACUUAAGUGUCUAUUUCAUUUGAAUCAAUUAGUUUAUGUGAAAUAUUUUAAACGAUUUAGUAAUUAAAAACGAUCUGAUUCAAGCUCGUAUAUGAAAAAUCUACCAAAUAUGCCGAAAAA